This 616-nucleotide ribosomal RNA is filed under the name Drosophila fraburu. RNAcentral describes it as "partial 16S ribosomal RNA". It matches the Rfam family "Bacterial large subunit ribosomal RNA", at positions 1845 to 2758 of the family's 2925-position model. Lineage: Eukaryota; Metazoa; Arthropoda; Insecta; Diptera; Drosophilidae. The record is from RNAcentral.
UUAAAGUCUAACCUGCCCACUGAAAAUUAAAUGGCCGCAGUAUUCUAACUGUGCAAAGGUAGCAUAAUCAUUAGUCUUUUAAUUGAAGGCUGGAAUGAAUGGUUGGACGAAAUAUUAACUGUUUCAUGUGAAUUUUUUAUAGAAUUUUAUUUUUUAGUUAAAAAGCUAAAAUAUAUUUAAAAGACGAGAAGACCCUAUAAAUCUUUAUAUUUAAUUUAUUUUAAUUGUAAAGAUUAUUUUUGUUAAAAUAAAAAAAGAUAUUUUAUUGGGGUGAUAUUAAAAUUUAAAAAACUUUUAAUUUUAAAAACAUUAAUUUAUGAAUAUUUGAUCCAUUAAUAAUGAUUAAAAAUUUAAGUUACUUUAGGGAUAACAGCGUAAUUUUUUUGGAGAGUUCAUAUCGAUAAAAAAGAUUGCGACCUCGAUGUUGGAUUAAGAUAUAAUUUUGGGUGUAGCCGUUCAAAUUUUAAGUCUGUUCGACUUUUAAAUUCUUACAUGAUCUGAGUUCAAACCGGUGUAAGCCAGGUUGGUUUCUAUCUUUAAUAAAAUAAAAUAUUUUAGUACGAAAGGACCAAAUAUUUAAAUAAUUAUAUUUUUUAUAAGAAUAUUAUUAAUAUAA